This is a long non-coding RNA of Myripristis murdjan (pinecone soldierfish), 634 nucleotides long. RefSeq lists it as uncharacterized. The record is from RefSeq and is a predicted model, not a curated record. Lineage: Eukaryota; Metazoa; Chordata; Actinopteri; Holocentriformes; Holocentridae. The transcript has 3 exons.
UGUGUCCUGUUACCUUAUUAGCUCGUUGUGUAUUUAAGUCCCGUCUUCAGUUGCCAUGUGUUGCUCUGCCGUGCGUCCAGUGGUUCCUGUGUUUAUUCCUGGUGCUCCUCGAGUUCUUUUGUCAUUUCAGUUAAUAAAUAAUUUUCUUCACCGCAACCUGCAGCUGCAUUUGGGUCCUGCCGACCUCCUCCACACACGUGACACAGCCUAUCUAAAUAUGAGACCCCCGGGCCGUGGCUGCGGUCCACUCUUCAAAUAGAGAAGGCAUCAAAUAAAAGUUGUUGGAUAUUAUUCCACCAGCCCUUUGACUCUGGACGUGACCAACGUGUCUGCAGGACAGAGGCUUCCUCGCGUCUGUGUCCCCAGCCGCAGUCGCCGUCUUCUUCUUCUUCUUCUGGUGGAGAGUAUGACGGGAGAGAUGAUGAGACGGAGAUUUGAGAGAUGAGCAGGAUGUCCUCAGAUGAAAAUGAGCGCUCCGUGCACAAAGCGGAAGAUAACUUUCCCACCAUGGGAGAGCCAGACUGGCAGCUGCAUUUACCUUCAGCUCUGAUGACCUUUUUCUGCUGAGAGUGAGGCUUCCAUUUUUAUUAAAACCACGACCAAAACCUUAACCCAAUUAUUUUACUUAACUGUU